CUGCGACCUCCUCCAUUCUCUGCCACCCCCUAGCCUUGUCGGCCCUCUCUAAUUCCUCUCCAACCUCGUUGUCCCUCCCCAUGUUGUCCCUAGCGUCAUUGCCCCUCCCCAGCCCUCUCUCUACUGCCACCAACUACUCCCACUACAGGAAAAGUAACCUAUUGCAACGUUUCUUUUAUGGCGUUUAUGAUAAACGCCUUUAUAGAUUAGUUAGAUACAAUGUUUUCAAAACGUUGUCUCCGAUCUCAGUAAAACGGCACCGUUUGAGUCAAUUCGUUGACACCGUUCAAUACUCCGUCCCUUUCAAAACGUCUCUCAGUCUGAGUCUCAGUCCCAGUCUCACUCACUCUUCCACAACUCAGACUCUCUCUCUCUCUCGCUGGGAAACCCAUUCGAUUUGAAGCUCAGAAACCCUCACUCUCGCCGAUUUGAAGCUCAAAACCCUCACUCUCGCCGAUUUGAAACUCAGAAACCCUCACCCUCACUCGAUUUCAAACACUCUCGAUCGAUUUCAGAUCUGUCGAUUUCAGAACUUGUUGUAGAUUUUGAAGAUCUCGCUCAAUCGGUCGCUUCUUUUUGUUGCAGAACUCAGAUCUGGCAAAUGGACAUCUGGAUUGUUAGGUUGGCAUAAUUAAUUGCAAAUCAUUUUUCUUUAUUUUUCUGCAGGCAAUUAAAGAAUUAAACAUCAGAACCAAGAAUUGGAAGGAGCUUCUCACUGAUGAAACAUUCACUAGGGCAUAUCUUAUAACAAUUCAGUAUUGUAGAUGCUGCUUACGCUUCAGUACAUGGAAGGAGUGCUGCAGCUGCAAAGGCCGCAUCAAGUGAGAAAACUGCUGUUCGGAUAGCUAUGAGCAUUGCUAGUCAUAUUGACAUCUUUGGUUUACGAGAAGCAACAAAAGCUAAGAAUCAUGAUGAAAAUGCAUGGGCUUGGCGACGGCCCUUAUUGGCAACAAAAGCUAAGAAUCUAGCUGGUGAUUUUGUUAGGGUUAAUAUUCUAACUGCGAGUUGAUUUAUUUUGUUUUUUUUUUCUCUCUAUAUGGCAUUAAUUUAGUUAUGGAUCUGGGUUGCCUUAUUUCAGAACACCCCAAAUUGACUAGUGAAGUCCCUAGCCUGUUAUAUUAUUGAUUGUUACUUGUGGCCAGUACAAGUUUAGGUGCUUGUGGGUACCAAUUGGUAAUUGAUUUUUUCUUUUGAAUAUGCAAGUAAAAAUAGAGAUGCUCUUUUGGUGGACAGGUUCUUUCAAUUCUAAUUUUAUUUAUUUUUAUUGUUUGUUCAUUUUUGGUUUUGGAACUCUGGGUUGAUGGUGUUUUACUACCUCAGGUGAAAAAUUUUGGGGUUUAAUUUAGAAGCACCCACAUCUUUGAUCACAAGAUCUCUCAUCUCUUUCGCUCGAGGAAUUUUUUAAAUAUAUUUAGAAGGAUCUAAAUAUUUAAUCAUAAGAUCUCUCUUCUCUCUCACUCUCUAGGCAUGUAUGCCCCCACGUGUGCACAAGCACAACCACACACAUGUAUUGUACGGAUUAUGAUGGCCCCUCUUGGGUGCUCCUCUUACCACUGCAUGGCCAUAGAGGGGCUGCAUUCUUCCUGCUCCUCACAUUUGCUUGCUUAAGACUUUGGCUAGGUUUUAGAUUCAGGUGCCCACUGUUUCUGUUCAUUAUUGGGUAGGGUGGGGUCUUGCUGUCUUUUUUGUGGUUGUGGGGGUUGCCCAACCACUUACCUUUAAUGAAGGUUGUUGAUAAUUUGCUAGAAUGAUUGACAACUGUGACAUGUUGCUCCACUUUUUUCAUGGUUGUUGGUGCAGAGGACAUGCACCAUUCAAAAUCAUUUUGAUGAUGGUGUGGAAUGUUAACCACCAAUUUAACAUGAUGAAUGUACUGGUAGACAUGUUUUAUGCACAUGGGACCAUUUGACUUCCUCUUUCCAAACAGUUUUGAGAAUAAUGAUAUGUAUCUUGAAAUGAGAGUGGGAGUAGGGGGUGGUUGCAUCUACCCUAGUUGCAACCCACAGUUUUCUGUCAUUUCAGAAACUUCGGGGAAGGUUGUUACAAAUUUACUGCCUCAGAAGAUACUUGGAAUUUCCUUCAAAAAAUAAUUUAUUAAAUAAAUAAUUUCUAUGUUUCAGCCUUCCGCAUAAAGUAGCAGCAGGGUUUCAUGAGCCUUAGUAAUUGGCUGAAUUGAAUUAACUGAAGACUGGAAAUAAUUUGAAGUAUGAAUGUUGCUUGCAUUGUCUAAGAUUUAACUGUUGAGAUAAAAAUAUUCUGCAACUAGAUUAGCUUGUGAAAUGAGGCCAAUUUUCCCAAACAGUUUUGUUUGAGAUUCUUUUUUAGUUUCCUGGAAAGAGCAUUGAUAAAGAAGUAGAGAAAUAACGGUUCAAAUCAUCCAUAGGCUAAUGCAACUGUAUAACUUCAUAUCAGCAUUGCUUGUUGCUUCCAUCGGCUCUGCAACCAUGUAUAUAUCAUUUUUUAACCAUAACGAAGUUCCCUGCUCUGCUUCAUUACUUGGAUUAGCAAGUAUAUCAUAAAAUAUUUGUGUUGAGGAAUUUUUUUCCCCUUGUGCUUGGAGUUUAUGAUAAUUAGUUAAGAUGAUGCUGAAUUGCUGGAGUUUAUGCAGGCCAAGUAUGUGGUUUCAUCAUGUUAGACAAAGUCCAGACAGCAGAGGACGCACUAUCGCAGUGAACUAUUGGUAUGAUAUGCAGUUCGAUGUAAAAUAUACUUACUUCAACUUCUUACAAUCAAUUCCUCACCCAUCAUCCCAUGGUCUGACACUGCAUGAAAUGGGAUUUGUUGGAUCAUCCUCAGAUACAUCUAUUUGCUAUUUAGGAGAUGAACCAGAUAUCAAUGCUAUCGAGAGGGUGAAUGUGGCUGAAAACAGAGAUGACAGUGACGAAGAAUGAAUAAUGAUGUGUUAAUGAGGGUGGUUUGAUCUUUGGGGAGCUCUUUGGUGAGAAGAUGCAGAGUGUAGAACAGAGAAAAAGCCGGAACAUCUUCUAUGUUUGCAUCAUUGAACUUUUGAACAGGUUUUGGGUGACAGAACUAUCUCUUAGUAUUCUCAGUAAGUUGGGUCUCUUCAAAUAUUUUUUUGUAGAGUUCUUAUUGUUAGUGGGAGAGACUGCUGCUAAAGUAAGUUCAAUGAACGAGGCUCCCGCUAAAGAAUGGUUUGAGAAGAGCAAGAUGUUUUGAUGUUCUUUGAAGUACCAAAAGUGACAGCUAUGUUUUGAUUGGAAAUUGGUGGUUUUAUUUUCAAUUUGUGACUUCUAUUUUUGUUUAUUUAUUUUUCUUAAAUGAAGAACCAAACAGAAGAAAAAGAGGGAAUAAUAACAAUACCCGUAGAUUGCUUGGUCUUAGUAAUCACAUAACUCUGUAAUAUCAAUUUUCAACAAAAUUUAUGAUCAAUGAUUGAAUCACAAUGACCAUCA
Non-coding RNA from Camellia sinensis, 3413 nucleotides. Lineage: Eukaryota; Viridiplantae; Streptophyta; Magnoliopsida; Ericales; Theaceae. The record is from RefSeq and is a predicted model, not a curated record.